Long non-coding RNA from Micropterus salmoides (largemouth bass), 424 nucleotides. RefSeq lists it as uncharacterized. The record is from RefSeq and is a predicted model, not a curated record. Lineage: Eukaryota; Metazoa; Chordata; Actinopteri; Centrarchiformes; Centrarchidae. The transcript is spliced from 2 exons.
UUUCUCAAUUUUCCCUUCCUUGCUGUCUGUGUCAGUCUUGUCUUUCAGGUCCUGUGUGUGUGUGUGUGUGUGUGUGUGUGUGUGUGGGCGUGCCCAGUCCUGGAUCCUGGCUCAUCACCACCUGCAGCUUCUUGCACCUGUGACUCAUCAACAAUCAACUCCUGCAGUGAAAUACUCUGGUUCACCUCCCGCUCUUUGCCAGUUCAUCAGUUUACCUCUUGUGUUAUUCCAGUGUCCUGAGUUGCUGCCUGCCUACUACCUGCCUGCUUGCCUGCCGCCCGCCUAACAAUCUGUCCGCCCUGAACAGCGCUUCAAAACGCCAUCGCUGGAGUCCCGCUGAGCCUGGAAUUCUCAGCCCUCUCCCCUACCCUCUGGCCUUUCCCGAGCACUUUUGUCAAUAAACCCUGCCUGUGUUCUAAUCGUC